CCAGUCAUAUGAUGUAUUUAUUACCUACAUUGUCAGACAACUAUGAAGUAGAAAAUUACAAACUGAAGAUUGG
Molecule: small nucleolar RNA, 73 nt
Organism: Mercenaria mercenaria
Lineage: Eukaryota; Metazoa; Mollusca; Bivalvia; Venerida; Veneridae
Product: small nucleolar RNA SNORD34
Exons: 1
Source: RefSeq, a predicted model, not a curated record